RNAcentral lists this unclassified non-coding RNA (227 nucleotides) under Hevea brasiliensis (rubber tree). Lineage: Eukaryota; Viridiplantae; Streptophyta; Magnoliopsida; Malpighiales; Euphorbiaceae. The record is from RNAcentral.
CUUAACUUGUCAAUUAAUGAUAACAACAAAACAGCAAUUGCUAAUGCAGAUGCUAUUGAACCUCUGAUUCAUGUACUAGACACAGGAAGUCCAGAGGCCAAGGAGAAUUCAGCUGCUACUCUCUUUAGCCUAUCAGUGAUUGAGGAUAACAAGGUCAGGAUAGGACGGUCUGGGGCUGUUAGACCUCUGGUUGAUUUGUUGGGGAAUGGAACUCCCAGGGGAAAGAA